RNAcentral lists this transfer RNA (76 nucleotides) under Thalassospira lucentensis. RNAcentral's name for it is "tRNA-Trp". It matches the Rfam family "tRNA". Rfam says of the family: Transfer RNA (tRNA) molecules are approximately 80 nucleotides in length. RNAcentral also lists the same sequence under 27 other names. Lineage: Bacteria; Pseudomonadati; Pseudomonadota; Alphaproteobacteria; Rhodospirillales; Thalassospiraceae. The record is from RNAcentral.
AGGAGUGUAGCUCAGUUGGUAGAGCAUCGGUCUCCAAAACCGAGUGUCGGGGGUUCGAGUCCCUCCUCUCCUGCCA